Molecule: ribosomal RNA, 492 nt
Filed under: uncultured bacterium
Lineage: Bacteria
Description: partial 16S ribosomal RNA
Rfam family: Bacterial small subunit ribosomal RNA
Source: RNAcentral
AGUGAACGCUGGCGGUAGGCCUAACACAUGCAAGUCGAACGGCAGCACAGUAAGAGCUUGCUCUUACGGGUGGCGAGUGGCGGACGGGUGAGGAAUACAUCGGAAUCUACUUUUUCGUGGGGGAUAACGUAGGGAAACUUACGCUAAUACCGCAUACGACCUACGGGUGAAAGCAGGGGAUCCUCGGACCUUGCGCGAUUGAAUGAGCCGAUGUCGGAUUAGCUAGUUGGCGGGGUAAAGGCCCACCAAGGCGACGAUCCGUAGCUGGUCUGAGAGGAUGAUCAGCCACACUGGAACUGAGACACGGUCCAGACUCCUACGGGAGGCAGCAGUGGGGAAUAUUGGACAAAGGGCGCAAGCCUGAUCCAGCCAUACCGCGUGGGUGAAGAAGGCCUUCGGGUUGUAAAGCCCUUUUGUUGGGAAAGAAAAGCAGCAGGUUAAUACCCCGCUGUUCUGACGGUACCCAAAGAAUAAGCACCGGCUAACUUCGUG